RNAcentral lists this ribosomal RNA (430 nucleotides) under uncultured bacterium. Its description in RNAcentral is "bacterial SSU rRNA". It matches the Rfam family "Bacterial small subunit ribosomal RNA", at positions 355 to 776 of the family's 1533-position model. The record is from RNAcentral.
UGGGGAAUUGUUCGCAAUGGGCGCAAGCCUGACGACGCAACGCCGCGUGGAGGAUGAAGGUCUUCGGAUUGUAAACUCCUGUCGUGUGGGAAGAACGACCUUGUGGUGAACAGCCGCGAGGUUUGACGGUACCACGUGAGGAAGCCCCGGCUAACUCUGUGCCAGCAGCCGCGGUAAUACAGAGGGGGCAAGCGUUGUUCGGAAUUACUGGGCGUAAAGGGCGUGUAGGCGGCCUCCUAAGUCAUACGUGAAAUCCCACGGCUCAACCGUGGAACUGCGUGUGAGACUGGGGGGCUCGAAUCCGGGAGAGGGAUGCGGAAUUCCAGGUGUAGCGGUGAAAUGCGUAGAUAUCUGGAGGAACACCGGUGGCGAAGGCGGCAUCCUGGACCGGCAUUGACGCUUAAGCGCGAAAGCCAGGGGAGCAAACGGG